AGAGUUUGAUCCUGGCUCAGAUUGAACGCUGGCGGCAUGCCUUACACAUGCAAGUCGAACGGUAACAGGUCUUCGGAUGCUGACGAGUGGCGAACGGGUGAGUAAUACAUCGGAACGUGCCCGAUCGUGGGGGAUAACGCAGCGAAAGCUGUGCUAAUACCGCAUACGACCUACGGAUGAAAGCGGGGGAUCGCAAGACCUCGCGCGGACGGAGCGGCCGAUGGCAGAUUAGGUAGUUGGUGGGAUAAAAGCUUACCAAGCCGACGAUCUGUAGCUGGUCUGAGAGGACGACCAGCCACACUGGGACUGAGACACGGCCCAGACUCCUACGGGAGGCAGCAGUGGGGAAUUUUGGACAAUGGGCGCAAGCCUGAUCCAGCCAUGCCGCGUGCAGGAUGAAGGCCUUCGGGUUGUAAACUGCUUUUGUACGGAACGAAAAAGCUCUCUCUAAUACAGGGGGUGAAUGACGGUACCGUAAGAAUAAGCACCGGCUAACUACGUGCCAGCAGCCGCGGUAAUACGUAGGGUGCAAGCGUUAAUCGGAAUUACUGGGCGUAAAGCGUGCGCAGGCGGUUAUGUAAGACAGAGGUGAAAUCCCCGGGCUCAACCUGGGAACUGCCUUUGUGACUGCAUAGCUGGAGUGCGGCAGAGGGGGAUGGAAUUCCGCGUGUAGCAGUGAAAUGCGUAGAUAUGCGGAGGAACACCGAUGGCGAAGGCAAUCCCCUGGGCCUGCACUGACGCUCAUGCACGAAAGCGUGGGGAGCAAACAGGAUUAGAUACCCUGGUAGUCCACGCCCUAAACGAUGUCAACUGGUUGUUGGGUCUUCACUGACUCAGUAACGAAGCUAACGCGUGAAGUUGACCGCCUGGGGAGUACGGCCGCAAGGUUAAAACUCAAAGGAAUUGACGGGGACCCGCACAAGCGGUGGAUGAUGUGGUUUAAUUCGAUGCAACGCGAAAAACCUUACCCACCUUUGACAUGUACGGAAUCCUUUAGAGAUAGAGGAGUGCUCGAAAGAGAGCCGUAACACAGGUGCUGCAUGGCUGUCGUCAGCUCGUGUCGUGAGUUGUUGGGUUAAGUCCCGCAACGAGCGCAACCCUUGCCAUUAGUUGCUACGAAAGGGCACUCUAAUGGGACUGCCGGUGACAAACCGGAGGAAGGUGGGGAUGACGUCAAGUCCUCAUGGCCCUUAUAGGUGGGGCUACACACGUCAUACAAUGGCUGGUACAAAGGGUUGCCAACCCGCGAGGGGGAGCCAAUCCCACAAAGCCAGUCGUAGUCCGGAUCGCAGUCUGCAACUCGACUGCGUGAAGUCGGAAUCGCUAGUAAUCGUGGAUCAGAAUGUCACGGUGAAUACGUUCCCGGGUCUUGUACACACCGCCCGUCACACCAUGGGAGCGGGUUCUGCCAGAAGUAGGUAGCCUAACCGUAAGGAGGGCGCUUACCACGGCAGGGUUCGUGACUGGGGUGAAGUCGUAACAAGGUA
RNAcentral lists this ribosomal RNA (1487 nucleotides) under metagenome. RNAcentral describes it as "bacterial SSU rRNA". It matches the Rfam family "Bacterial small subunit ribosomal RNA". The record is from RNAcentral.